AGAGUUUGAUCCUGGCUCAGAUUGAACGCUGGCGGCAGGCCUAACACAUGCAAGUCGAACUGUAGCAGGAAGUGCUUGCACUUUGCUGACGAGUGGCGGACGGGUGAGUAAUGCUUGGGAACUUGCCUUUAGGUGGGGGAUAACAGUUGGAAACGACUGCUAAUACCGCAUAAUGUCUACGGACCAAAGGGGGCUUCGGCUCUCGCCUUGAGAGAGGCCCAAGUGAGAUUAGCUAGUUGGUGGGGUAAAGGCCUACCAAGGCAACGAUCUCUAGCUGUUCUGAGAGGAAGAUCAGCCACACUGGGACUGAGACACGGCCCAGACUCCUACGGGAGGCAGCAGUGGGGAAUAUUGCACAAUGGGGGAAACCCUGAUGCAGCCAUGCCGCGUGUGUGAAGAAGGCCUUCGGGUUGUAAAGCACUUUCAGUUGUGAGGAAAGGUUGGUAGUUAAUACCUGCCAGCUGUGACGUUAACAACAGAAGAAGCACCGGCUAACUCCGUGCCAGCAGCCGCGGUAAUACGGAGGGUGCGAGCGUUAAUCGGAAUUACUGGGCGUAAAGCGCACGCAGGCGGUUUGUUAAGCUAGAUGUGAAAGCCCCGGGCUCAACCUGGGAUGGUCAUUUAGAACUGGCAGACUAGAGUCUUGGAGAGGGGAGUGGAAUUCCAGGUGUAGCGGUGAAAUGCGUAGAUAUCUGGAGGAACAUCAGUGGCGAAGGCGGCUCCCUGGCCAAAGACUGACGCUCAUGUGCGAAAGUGUGGGUAGCGAACAGGAUUAGAUACCCUGGUAGUCCACACCGUAAACGCUGUCUACUAGCUGUUUGUGAAUUUAAUUCGUGAGUAGCGAAGCUAACGCGCUAAGUAGACCGCCUGGGGAGUACGGCCGCAAGGUUAAAACUCAAAGGAAUUGACGG
This 911-nucleotide ribosomal RNA is filed under the name uncultured bacterium. Its description in RNAcentral is "bacterial SSU rRNA". It matches the Rfam family "Bacterial small subunit ribosomal RNA", at positions 8 to 916 of the family's 1533-position model. The record is from RNAcentral.